GGCUUAGCUCAAUUGGUAGAGCAACUGACUUGUAAUCAGUAGGUUGAGGGUUCAAGUCCUUUAGCCGG
Molecule: transfer RNA, 68 nt
Filed under: Thomasclavelia ramosa
Lineage: Bacteria; Bacillati; Bacillota; Erysipelotrichia; Erysipelotrichales; Coprobacillaceae
Also listed under: 14 other names
Rfam family: tRNA
About the family: Transfer RNA (tRNA) molecules are approximately 80 nucleotides in length. Their secondary structure includes four short double-helical elements and three loops (D, anti-codon, and T loops).
Source: RNAcentral